GGUUGAGGUUGCUUGCCGCUGAAAAUCUGAGAUUAAAUUUUCAUUUCCACUUGAUAAGUGAAGAAGCAUGUUAUGGAUCUAGUUUUUGGAAUCAAAAUUUUGUUGUCCCUGAAACUUGGAUUUUGUGUUUCAAUUUGCGGUAUUGAAAUUUGAUGUCUGUGUCACUUCUUUUAUGUUUCUUGAAAUGGUAAUUGAUAUUCAUUGCUUCUUGUUUGAAUCCUGUUGCAUUUGAUAUUCAUUUCAAGUUAGCGUAAUCUAAUGAUUUUUAGACUGAUGCAAACUAAAUCAAAUUUUGAAUAAGAGAUUAUCAAUUAUACACUACUAAAAAACAUUGGUUUGUCUGAUAUUGAGCCUUAUAUUGAAGAGUCUCAUUAAUAUUACACCUGGAAUUUUUAUUAAACUGAUUCCUUUUAUUUCUCCUCUAUGGCUCAACACUUGUUCACAAUGUCCUAGAAUUUGAUCCUCUUCUAUUUAUUAUUAGGAUAUUUUUUUUAGUGCCUUUUCUUUUGGUUGUUAA
Molecule: unclassified non-coding RNA, 517 nt
Filed under: Hevea brasiliensis (rubber tree)
Lineage: Eukaryota; Viridiplantae; Streptophyta; Magnoliopsida; Malpighiales; Euphorbiaceae
Source: RNAcentral